This 439-nucleotide ribosomal RNA is filed under the name uncultured bacterium. RNAcentral describes it as "partial 16S ribosomal RNA". It matches the Rfam family "Bacterial small subunit ribosomal RNA", at positions 339 to 795 of the family's 1533-position model. The record is from RNAcentral.
CUACGGGGUGCUCCAGUGAGGAAUAUUGCACAAUGGGGGGAACCCUGAUGCAGCAACGCCGCGUGGAGGAUGACGCAUUUCGGUGUGUAAACUCCUUUUAUAUGUCAAGAAAAUGACGGUAGCAUAUGAAUAAGCACCGGCUAACUCCGUGCCAGCAGCCUCGGUAAUACGGAGGGUGCAAGCGUUACUCGGAAUCACUGGGCGUAAAGGACGCGUAGGCGGGUGGGAAAGUCAGGUGUGAAAUACUACAGCUUAACUGUAGAACUGCACUUGAAACUUCUAAUCUAGAGUAUGGGAGGGGGAGAUGGAAUUAGUGGUGUAGGGGUAAAAUCCGUAGAUAUCACUAGGAAUACCUAAAGCGAAGGCGAUCUCCUGGAACAUUACUGACGCUAAGGCGUGAAAGCGUGGGGAGCAAACAGGAUUAGAUACCCCGGUAGUC